Transfer RNA from Loxodonta africana (African savanna elephant), 71 nucleotides. It matches the Rfam family "tRNA". Rfam says of the family: Transfer RNA (tRNA) molecules are approximately 80 nucleotides in length. Their secondary structure includes four short double-helical elements and three loops (D, anti-codon, and T loops). Further hydrogen bonds mediate the characteristic L-shaped molecular structure. tRNAs have two regions of fundamental functional importance: the anti-codon, which is responsible for specific mRNA codon recognition, and the 3' end, to which the tRNAs corresponding amino acid is attached (by aminoacyl-tRNA synthetases). tRNAs cope with the degeneracy of the genetic code in two manners: having more than one tRNA (with a specific anti-codon) for a particular amino acid; and 'wobble' base-pairing, i.e. permitting non-standard base-pairing at the 3rd anti-codon position. The record is from Rfam. NCBI's taxonomy places the organism in Eukaryota, Metazoa, Chordata, Mammalia, Proboscidea, Elephantidae.
ACAAUGGUGGUUCAGUGGUAGAAUUCUCACCUUCCAUGCAGGGGACCUGGGUUUGAUUCCCAGCCGAUGCA